This 447-nucleotide ribosomal RNA is filed under the name uncultured organism. Its description in RNAcentral is "partial 16S ribosomal RNA". It matches the Rfam family "Bacterial small subunit ribosomal RNA", at positions 335 to 798 of the family's 1533-position model. The record is from RNAcentral.
ACUCCUGCGGGAGGCAGCAGUGGGGAAUAUUGGACAAUGGGCGCAAGCCUGAUCCAGCCAUGCCGCGUGAGUGAUGAAGGCCCUAGGGUUGUAAAGCUCUUUCACCGGAGAAGAUAAUGACGGUAUCCGGAGAAGAAGCCCCGGCUAACUUCGUGCCAGCAGCCGCGGUAAUACGAAGGGGGCUAGCGUUGUUCGGAAUUACUGGGCGUAAAGCGCACGUAGGCGGAUCGAUCAGUCAGGGGUGAAAUCCCAGGGCUCAACCCUGGAACUGCCUUUGAUACUGUCGAUCUGGAGUAUGGAAGAGGUGAGUGGAAUUCCGAGUGUAGAGGUGAAAUUCGUAGAUAUUCGGAGGAACACCAGUGGCGAAGGCGGCUCACUGGUCCAUUACUGACGCUGAGGUGCGAAAGCGUGGGGAGCAAACAGGAUUAGAAACCCUAGUAGUCCCAU